AAUUCCUGCGUAAAGGUACCGGCCGAAGCUGUGGGAUGUCU
This 41-nucleotide non-coding RNA is filed under the name Spodoptera frugiperda (fall armyworm). Lineage: Eukaryota; Metazoa; Arthropoda; Insecta; Lepidoptera; Noctuidae. The record is from RNAcentral.